AGUGAACGCUGGCGGUAGGCCUAACACAUGCAAGUCGAACGGCAGCACAGUAAGAGCUUGCUCUUACGGGUGGCGAGUGGCGGACGGGUGAGGAAUACAUCGGAAUCUACUUUUUCGUGGGGGAUAACGUAGGGAAACUUACGCUAAUACCGCAUACGACCUCCGGGUGAAAGCAGGGGAUCUUCGGACCUUGCGCGAUUGUAUGAGCCGAUGUCGGAUUAGCUAGUUGGCGGGGUAAAGGCCCACGAAGGCGACGAUCCGUAGCUGGUCUGAGAGGAUGAUCAGCCACACCGGAACUGAGACACGGUCCAGACUCCUACGGGAGGCAGCAGUGGGGAAUAUUGGACAAUGGGCGCAAGCCUGAUCCAGCCAUACCGCGUGGGUGAAGAGGGCCUUCGGGUUGUAAAGCCCUUUUGUUGGGAAAGAAAAGCAGCAGGUUAAUACCCCGCUGUUCUGACGGUACCCAAAGAAUAAGCACCGGCUAACUUCGUG
This 492-nucleotide ribosomal RNA is filed under the name uncultured bacterium. Its description in RNAcentral is "partial 16S ribosomal RNA". It matches the Rfam family "Bacterial small subunit ribosomal RNA", at positions 29 to 507 of the family's 1533-position model. The record is from RNAcentral.